AUUGAACGCUGGCGGAAUGCUUUACACAUGCAAGUCGAACGGUAGAGGGGGCAACCCCUUGAGAGUGGCGAACGGGUGAGUAAUAUAUCGGAACGUGCCCAGUCGUGGGGAUAACGUAGCGAAAGCUACGCUAAUACCGCAUACGAUCUAUGGAUGAAAGCGGGGGAUCGCAAGACCUCGCGCGAUUGGAGCGGCCGAUAUCAGAUUAGGUAGUUGGUGAGGUAAAGGCUCACCAAGCCGACGAUCUGUAGCUGGUCUGAGAGGACGACCAGCCACACUGGGACUGAGACACGGCCCCAGACUCCUACGGGGGGCAGCAGUGGGGAAUUUUGGACAAUGGGCGCAAGCCUGAUCCAGCAAUGCCGCGUGCAGGAUGAAGGCC
This 382-nucleotide ribosomal RNA is filed under the name uncultured bacterium. RNAcentral describes it as "bacterial SSU rRNA". It matches the Rfam family "Bacterial small subunit ribosomal RNA", at positions 30 to 416 of the family's 1533-position model. The record is from RNAcentral.